This 253-nucleotide ribosomal RNA is filed under the name uncultured bacterium. Its description in RNAcentral is "partial 16S ribosomal RNA". It matches the Rfam family "Bacterial small subunit ribosomal RNA", at positions 549 to 776 of the family's 1533-position model. The record is from RNAcentral.
UCCUUCUUCCUCUCUCUUUUUUCUUAUUUACUUUUCUUAAAGCGUGCGUAGGCGGUGUCUUAAGUUUGUUGUGAAAUCUCCCGGCUUAACCGGGAGGGUGCGGCGAAUACUGAGAUGCUGGAGUGCGGGAGAGGUAAGCGGAAUUCCUGGUGUAGCGGUGAAAUGCGUAGAUAUCAGGAGGAACACCUGCGGUGUAGACGGCUUACUGGACCGUAACUGACGCUGAGGCACGAAAGCGUGGGUAGCAAACAGG